This is a small nuclear RNA of 144 nucleotides. Its record names the gene U2. It matches the Rfam family "U2 spliceosomal RNA". Rfam says of the family: U2 is a small nuclear RNA (snRNA) component of the spliceosome (involved in pre-mRNA splicing). Complementary binding between U2 snRNA (in an area lying towards the 5' end but 3' to hairpin I) and the branchpoint sequence (BPS) of the intron results the bulging out of an unpaired adenosine, on the BPS, which initiates a nucleophilic attack at the intronic 5' splice site, thus starting the first of two transesterification reactions that mediate splicing. The record is from Ensembl.
AUCGCUUCUCGGCCUUUUGGCUAAGAUCAAGUGUAGUAUCUGUUCUUAUCAGUUUAAAAAAUCACUGACCACAAUUGAGCACGAGUUAUUCCACUGAUGCAAGAGUGGUUUAAUAUUUACAAAUCAAUCAGUGUGGUACCUCAC